UACGUAGGGUGCGAGCGUUAAUCGGAAUUACUGGGCGUAAAGGGUGCGCAGGCGGUUUUGUAAGCCAGAUGUGAAAUCCCCGGGCUCAACCUGGGAAUGGCAUUUGGGACUGCAAGGCUAGAGUGUGGCAGAGGAGACUGGAAUUCCCGGUGUAGCAGUGAAAUGCGUAGAUAUCGGGAGGAAUACCGAUGGCGAAGGCAGGUCUCUGGGCUGACACUGACGCUCAUGCACGAAAGCGUGGGGAGCAAACAGG
RNAcentral lists this ribosomal RNA (253 nucleotides) under uncultured bacterium. RNAcentral's name for it is "partial 16S ribosomal RNA". It matches the Rfam family "Bacterial small subunit ribosomal RNA", at positions 524 to 776 of the family's 1533-position model. The record is from RNAcentral.